AGUGAACGCUGGCGGUAGGCCUAACACAUGCAAGUCGAACGGCAGCACAGUAAGAGCUUGCUCUUACUGGUGGCGAGUGGCGGACGGGUGAGGAAUACAUCGGAAUCUACUUUUUCGUGGGUGAUAACGGAGGGAAACUUACGCUAAUACCGCAUACGACCUACGGGUGAAAUCAGGGGAUCUUCGGACCUUGCGCGAUUGAAUUAGCCGAUGUCGGAUUAGCUAGUUGGUGGGGUAAAGGCCCACCAAGGCGACGAUCCGUAGCUGGUCUGAGAGGAUGAUCAGCCACACUGGAACUGAGACACGGUCCAGACUCCUACGGGAGGCAGCAGUGGGGAAUAUUCGACAAUGGGCGAAAGCCUGACCCAGCCAUACCGCGUGGGUGAAGAAGGCCUUCGGGUUGUAAAGCCCUUUUGUUGGGAAAGAACAGCAGCAGGUUAAUACCCCGCUGUUCUGACGGUACCCAAAGAAUAAGCACCGGCUAACUUCGUG
This 492-nucleotide ribosomal RNA is filed under the name uncultured bacterium. RNAcentral describes it as "partial 16S ribosomal RNA". It matches the Rfam family "Bacterial small subunit ribosomal RNA", at positions 29 to 507 of the family's 1533-position model. The record is from RNAcentral.